AAGACCUUGCACUUUUGGAGCGGCCGAUGUCUGAUUAGCUAGUUGGUGGGGUAAUGGCCUACCAAAGCUUCGAUCAGUAGCUGGUCUGAGAGGACGGCCAGCCACACUGGGACUGAGACACGGCCCAGACUCCUACGGGAGGCAGCAGUGGGGAAUUUUGGACAAUGGGCGCAAGCCUGAUCCAGCCAUGCCGCGUGAGUGAAGAAGGCCUUCGGGUUGUAGAGCUCUUUCAGCCGGGAAGAAAAGGUUGCGACUAAUAAUCGCAAUUCACGACGGUACCGAAAGAAGAAGCACCGGCUAACUACGUGCCAGCAGCCGCGGUAAUACGUAGGGUGCGAGCGUUAAUCGGAAUUACUGGGCGUAAAGGGUGCGCAGGCGGUUUUGUAAGUCAGAUGUGAAAUCCCCGGGCUUAACCUGGGAACU
This 423-nucleotide ribosomal RNA is filed under the name uncultured bacterium. Its description in RNAcentral is "bacterial SSU rRNA". It matches the Rfam family "Bacterial small subunit ribosomal RNA", at positions 207 to 622 of the family's 1533-position model. The record is from RNAcentral.